GGGUGAGUAACACGUAUCCAACCUGCCUCAUACUCGGGGAUAGCCUUUCGAAAGAAAGAUUAAUAUCCGAUAGCAUAUAUUUCCCGCAUGGGUUUUAUAUUAAAGAAAUUCGGUAUGAGAUGGGGAUGCGUUCCAUUAGUUUGUUGGGGGGGUAACGGCCCACCAAGACUACGAUGGAUAGGGGUUCUGAGAGGAAGGUCCCCCACAUUGGAACUGAGACACGGUCCAAACUCCUACGGGAGGCAGCAGUGAGGAAUAUUGGUCAAUGGACGCGAGUCUGAACCAGCCAAGUAGCGUGAAGGAUGACUGCCCUAUGGGUUGUAAACUUCUUUUAUAUGGGAAUAAAGUUGUCCACGUGUGGAUUUUUGUAUGUACCAUAUGAAUAAGGAUCGGCUAACUCCGUGCCAGCAGCCGCGGUAAUACGGAGGAUCCGAGCGUUAUCCGGAUUUAUUGGGUUUAAAGGGAGCGUAGGCGGAUUGUUAAGUCAGUUGUGAAAGUUUGCGGCUCAACCGUAAAAUUGCAGUUGAUACUGGCAGUCUUGAGUGCAGUAGAGGUGGGCGGAAUUCGUGGUGUAGCGGUGAAAUGCUUAGAUAUCACGAAGAACUCCGAUUGCGAAGGCAGCUCACUGGAGUGUAACUGACGCUGAUGCUCGAAAGUGUGGGUAUCAAACAGGAUUAGAUACCCUGGUAGUCCACACAGUAAACGAUGAAUACUCGCUGUUUGCGAUAUACAGUAAGCGGCCAAG
Molecule: ribosomal RNA, 745 nt
Filed under: uncultured bacterium
Lineage: Bacteria
Description: bacterial SSU rRNA
Rfam family: Bacterial small subunit ribosomal RNA
Source: RNAcentral